This 868-nucleotide long non-coding RNA is filed under the name Equus asinus (donkey). RNAcentral describes it as "lncRNA (ENSEASG00005026560.1)". Lineage: Eukaryota; Metazoa; Chordata; Mammalia; Perissodactyla; Equidae. The record is from RNAcentral.
GUGCGCCGCGCGCGGCGGCUGUGCUACUCUCGGCCGUUGGAGGGCCUGCUCCUGCCGGAGGAAGGAGGAUCCCGAGUGCCACGUUGCGAGUUCUUGUGGUGUCCGCCUCCUUCCGGACUCACCACCUCAGGUAGUUGUAUGCCCAGGCCUAUGCUCCAAGGAGGACAAUAUUUAAGAAGUCGGAGAAAGAGAAAAGCCCAAAAAAGAGGCAGAAGAACAGCCUGAGAGACAGAGCAAGUUUUUGUUGCAACAGACACAGAAGAGUAAAAAUAUCACCAACUGCUACAAGAAGAAGAGUAAGAGGAAGAAAAUCACAGAGAACUCUAAAAAAAGAGCUGAAAGCGCCCUAACUGACAGAGACAUGCGAUAGUUUUUCAGAAGAAGAUGGAACAGGGCAUUUCUACAGAGACAACAGGAGAUUUGUGUGAUGCAUCAACCUACCACGUGGAACAGAGCUGUGGAGACUCAUCUGCCAAAUAAAUGACCUCAGCCCAAGCCCUUGUCUUAGAGUUUGACUUUAGAGGAACCUCAGCUAAGACACUUGUCAUCAAGGUGGAAUGAACUUAGAAGCUGAUGGCGGGGACCAAAGGAAAUUAUUCUUGGAAGAAACAGUCCAUCUUCAUGAAUGACCCUUCACCCACAAAAUGUUCUUCUUUUUGAGUUGCCUUUAAUUGCUUUUGUCCCUCCUCAUACUCUCACAGAAAUUCUGUGAGGUUCUGAGAUCGGCUGUCUUCUCUCCACUUUCUCAGGGAGUUCAUUUUCUCCCCAAGCUUCAAGUAUCCUUGAUUUUGUGAAUGAUGUCAAAAAAUAUAAUUCAUUAAUUUAUUUAACCAAUAUCUAUUGUACCUAACAUGUACCAGGAACCAUG